GAGCUAAACCCCCAGGCCCUUAGAGAGGAUAUUUUGUUUCUUGGUCUCUUAAACAUGUUUCUUUGAUUCUUUGAUCUUCUGUUCAUAAUUUAACAAUCUUUGUUCAAGUUCUUCAUUUUCUUUCAUGAUGUUCUUCCCCUUUUCAGAAAGUUGCUGUUCAGUGACUUGAUACAAUCUGUCCUUUUCAGCAAGAACAGUUCUCCGCAAGGAAAUGGCAAGUGAAACAAUCACCAAGAAGCACAGGCUUCCAUGGUCGUCUGUAAAAAUCAGCCCCAGGCUGAACAUCAUCAGGCAACGUAGCAACCAGCUCCAGGCGGUGUAGAGGUCCCAGCAGCUGCGGCUCCCCGGGGACGCGUGACAGCGGUUCCGGCGGCAGACACUGAGGGGCAGACGCUGCCAUUGUAUAAGGGAGCUUCGCCGAAACAACGCUUCGUCCCACAGGAUCACUCUGAUCCGUCGUGGGCUGCUCCUCCUUCAUUCGGCCUUGCAGGAGCCGGGUCGGACCGAUCGCUGGAAGAGUAGGGGCGCUGUGAGGCGGGUCACUCAUGAGACCCCGAGGACCCCCCAGCCUGCGGUCCCCUGAGCAGAGGAGAUGGAGAAGGAGCUGUCCCGCAAGGUCCCAGGAGAGGGAGGCUCCAAAGCAGACAUGUAAAGGAGCACCGCGUGGGGCUGGCCACGCAGAAGCUGCCCCUGACCCUCAUGGGUCAAGGUCCGAAGGUGCAGCAUGAAGAAGCGGCCAACACAGCAGGACUUCUCGUCACCCUUGGCGCUUUUCCGUGUCACAAGGUGUACCACAGAAGCUCCAGAGACCUCCCCAUACUUGGCUGCAUAAAAAAAUACAGUAUAUCCUUCCAGGAAAACACAAAACAAAAGGCUUGCAAUUCACCACCCUCCUCCCAUAGGUAGCAUCAAUGUCAGUAUUCAUGCAUGGCCUUUUCCUUUGACCCACAUUUGUCUCUUCAGUAAUUCAGACUUGAGGGGCUGGGGAUUUAGCUCAGCGGCAAAGUGCCUGCCCGGCAAGUGCAAGGUUGUGAGUUUGAUUCCCGGUAUUGGAAGGAAAAAAAAAUUUAGACUUGAGUUUCAUUAGGAACAAAAUAGACUUUCUUGCUGGGUUUGGUGGUGCAACCCUAUAAUCCCAGCACUUGGG
Molecule: long non-coding RNA, 1147 nt
Organism: Chinchilla lanigera (long-tailed chinchilla)
Lineage: Eukaryota; Metazoa; Chordata; Mammalia; Rodentia; Chinchillidae
Exons: 3
Source: RefSeq, a predicted model, not a curated record